Molecule: long non-coding RNA, 257 nt
Filed under: Nicotiana benthamiana
Lineage: Eukaryota; Viridiplantae; Streptophyta; Magnoliopsida; Solanales; Solanaceae
Description: long non-coding RNA (NBEN_LNC036922)
Source: RNAcentral
UUGAGCUCUGUUACCUUUAACAACCUCAGCCAAUGUUUGCUUCUGAGAUCCAGCUGAGUACGUGAGCUUCCUAGCCGUUGUUGUCACACCUGCUUCCAUUGGUUGCAUUUUAUCUUCUUCCUUCUCCGGCGGAGCUUGCAUGACUGUAGUAGCACUUCUCAUACCUGGGAACCAAUGCAAUAGUGGUGCUGGGGUUAAUUUUUAUGGAAUCCUGCUUUCAGGGGUUAUCAUUCUCGUAAAAAUAAGCUACUUUUCUA